Molecule: ribosomal RNA, 497 nt
Filed under: uncultured bacterium
Lineage: Bacteria
Description: partial 16S ribosomal RNA
Rfam family: Bacterial small subunit ribosomal RNA
Source: RNAcentral
GACGAACGCUGGCGGCGUGCCUAAUACAUGCAAGUUGAGCGCUGAAGGUUGGUACUUGUACCAACUGGAUGAGCAGCGAACGGGUGAGUAACGCGUGGGGAAUCUGCCUUUGAGCGGGGGACAACAUUUGGAAACGAAUGCUAAUACCGCAUAAAAACUUUAAACACAAGUUUUAAGUUUGAAAGAUGCAAUUGCAUCACUCAAAGAUGAUCCCGCGUUGUAUUAGCUAGUUGGUGAGGUAAAGGCUCACCAAGGCGAUGAUACAUAGCCGACCUGAGAGGGUGAUCGGCCACAUUGGGACUGAGACACGGCCCAAACUCCUACGGGAGGCAGCAGUAGGGAAUCUUAGGCAAUGGAAGAAAGUCUGACCGAGCAACGCCGCGUGAGUGAAGAAGGUUUUCGGAUCGUAAAACUCUGUUGGUAGAGAAGAACGUUGGUGAGAGUGGAAAGCUCAUCAAGUGACGGUAACUACCCAGAAAGGGACGGCUAACUACGUG